This is a long non-coding RNA of Cavia porcellus (domestic guinea pig), 5952 nucleotides long. RefSeq lists it as uncharacterized. The record is from RefSeq and is a predicted model, not a curated record. The transcript is spliced from 5 exons. NCBI's taxonomy places the organism in Eukaryota, Metazoa, Chordata, Mammalia, Rodentia, Caviidae.
GUGGGCGGGGCUGGCGCAGGGGCGCAGGGUGCGGAGGUCACGUGGGCGGGGCGGGGCGGGACGCUGGGGAUUCUGACCUCAGAGGGGGUCGCGGAGCCGAGGUCCCAGCUGCGGCUGGCCAGGUGGCCAAAGCCCUGGUCUGGGAGGCACGCUUAGUUCCGGGCCAGCCUCCCUAGCAGGUGUGCGUGACCUAGCGCCGGAACUGUUGUUGCAGAGCUGUGAGGUGUGGGAGUUUGGGGCUGGCCCCUGAUGACUGCGAUGGGUAUGAUGAUGCACCCUUGUAAUGCCACUACUUGGGAGGCUGAGACAGGAGGAUUGCUACAAAUUCAAGGCCAGCCUGAACUACAUAACAAGAUCUUGUCUCAGGAAAAAUAUUUCUGAGGACUUCUAGAUCUGUCACAGGGCGACCUACAGCGGCUCCUCAAAAUGAAUUGUUCUGAAUCAGGAACAUCAGGCAACCAUGAAGCACAACUAAAGACACUCUCGAAAGAGGACUUCCAGAGCUGCCCCAAGAAGGAUAGGCGAGACCCUUAAGAUCCCGCAGGAGUAACAGCUGGGUCUCCUGGAGAUCCCCGGGAGCUCUGGAAAGCACCUCUCCAUUAUCCAUCAGUACUUCUCCCUCCUCAUUCCCAUUCACCCCUGCUGCUUCACUUCUGAGCCUUCCUGCCUUGAAACGCAACUCACACAGUAUAAAAGUGACCUCUCCCUCUCGCCAUUCCCUCCCUCUCACUCCCUCUCCCCCUACCCCAGGCUGAGUUUGAGUUUGACCAUCCUCCUGUGUUAGCCUCCCUGGCUAUGGAGAGUAUAGGUGUGGGCCACUUCCAGCAGAGUGUUUCUUCUUAAAUUGAACCCUUUGAUUUAUUUUGAAGUUUGUUGUUUGUUUCUUUUGAAAUGGGAUCUUGUUAUAUUGUCCAUGCUGGGCCUGAACUCUUGAUCCUCCUGCCUCAGCCCCCAGGUAGCUGGGAUCAUAGAGAUGUGCCUUAUAUUGUUUCCCAUAGUCCACCUCCCCCUCCACUUUGUGGUUAACCUUUUAAGGUGAUCAUUAUGUUUUAUUUUUACAAGGCCAAAAAUACCUUUUGUUUUCCCUUGCUUUUAAGCCUAAAAUGUCUCCAUCCCUUUGGAUAUAAGAUACUUAUAUUUUCAAAUAGUCUUUUCUUGCUUGAAGGUUUUUGUUUGUUUGCUUAUUUGUUUUUUGUUUUGUUUUGUUUUUUGUCUGAGACAGGAUCUUACUAUGCAGUACAGGCUGGCCUUCAGCUCACUUUGUAGCCUGUGCUGGUCUCGAACUUGCAACAAUCCUCCUUCCUCAGUGUCCCCCCCCCCCCCGAGUGCUGGGAUUUAUAGGGCUGCUUAAAGUUUUAUCACUUCAUGUGUUAAUCUUUUUGCAAUUUGUAUUGGCACAUGAUGUGGUAUAAAUGUUACUUUUAAAACAUAAUUCAUCAAGCGCCUGAUCCCUACUGAAUUUAAUCUCCUCUAUCAAUUAUACUGAUAAAAAAUACUUUUCCUCCUCUUCCUUGUUCUUCUCCCUCUUUUUUGUUUUUUGGUUUGGUUUGGUUUUAGUUUUUCACUGGUACAGGGGACUGAACCUAGUGCCCCUGCACUGAGCUACAGCCCCAGUCCUUAAUACUAUCUUUUACAAAAUUUUUAAAUUUUACUUUAAAGAGAAUAAAACCAAACCAAACAAUACAAAGCCAAUCAAAACAAAACAGUAAAAGUGACAUAGGACCUCAAAACAGAACAGUAGGUAGGAAAUAAAGGAUGGCCACCACAAUGUCCCCUGCCGUCCUCAAAGUAGCUGCUUAUGUCACCAGACAGAAUAAAAACAAAACAGAACAGAAUAAAACCAGGCAAAACAAAACAAUGAAAGCAACACGGGACUUUAAAACAAGAUAAUAGGAAAUCAACACAUUAUUUUUGAGACAGGGUCUUGCAAAAUUACAAUAAAUAAAUUCUCUAGAUUGGGCUCAAAUUUGUAAUUCUCUUGCCUCAGCCUUUCAGAGUGCGGAAAUUAUUAUAAUUACAAAUUCUUUUUGAAACAUCUAAUCUGAAAAAAAACCUAGUCUGAGUGAUCCUAAUCAUUUUAUUCUGUAAGGUUUGGUCAGUUCAGCUGGGCAUGGUAGUGCAUGCCUGUAAUUUCUGCACUUGGGAGGCAGAGGCAGGAGGAUCCUUGCAAAUUCAAGACCAGGCUGAGCUACAAAAUGAGCUGAAGGCCAGCCUGAACUGUGUAGUGAGACCAUCCCAAAAAGUAACAACAACAACAAAAAAAUUGGUCAGUUCCUGUCUUUCUGUAACCCACAUGAAAGAGAAGGCAUCCUCUGUUAGUUGGUUUUAAAUACCCUAUAAUACUUUCAUUCUCUUGAAUGGUUUUACACUGUCAUAUUGUGUUUGAUGCUAUACUAUACCAAGUUAUACUCAAAUAUUUCAGGGAGGGAGACACUAUGGUAGCUACUGUUGUGUCGGGUUAUCUUGUGGUGAAACACUAUGUUGCUUAAAUUGUUCUAUUCUGGCCUGUGUUAUUUUAUGUCCUCUUCCUCCUCCUUUCUUUUAAUUUUUUUAAUAAAAAUUAUUAAAUAGCAAAAAAGAAAAAAAAGAGAGAAGGCAUCUAUGGUAGAUGAGAGGGAAGGGCUCCCUGGGCCUCUGUACCACUGAUUCCUAGGAAGAGAGAAUUUCUGAGGGGCUUGCUCAUUUCCAGGCUGAACUACACUUAAAUUACCCCCACGGGCAUUCACAAACGGAGGAGGAACUCCAACGUAUCAUUUUUGGGAACUUUUAAAAUUAAACAUUAUCAAAUAUCCUUUUUGUACUAGGAAGGAUCUUUACAGACUUUGAUCCAAAACCAGAAUAGGUCCUAUUGUUUAAGGACUCAGCCAAUAGGAUGAAAACAAAGAGGACCAGGGGCAUGAUUCAGUGGCAGUGCACUUUCUAGCGUGGGUUAGGUCCUGCGUUCUCUCCCCAGCGACACUCAUUCAGGAAGAUGUAUGAAACCUCACAAGCUGUAAAAAGUUUUAUGCAGAUAAUAAUUAUGCAAAAGGAAACCAAGGUGAAUCCUGCAACCGCAGUUUCUCCUGUCAGCAUCUGUGGCCGUUAUGGGCAGGCUGGCUCAGCAGAGCCUGCAGAGCCUGCAGGGGGCCUUGGUCUUCAAGCUCUCUGCGAGCUAGAGUCACAGGAGUGAAGGGGGCUGGGUGGCCCAGGCGGAGAAGGCGAUGCGCAGGGGGCCUGCAGCCGGCAAGGCCACAGAUGCAGAGCCACGUAAUGAGGAAGUGGGGAGCUGGGGCGUCCGGUCCAUCGUGUGUGGUGGGACAUCAGGAUACAAGGGUGCAGUUCAUGGAAGCCUCGACCCUGUGGCAGGAGCGUGUGUCUGAAGGUCACACUGGCGCUUUGGAAAGGUCAAUAGCCGAGUACCGGGGAUCAAACUCAUGACCUCACGCUUGCCAGGCAGGUGCUUAUGCCACUGAGCUAAAUCCCCAGCCCUACCAAGCUAUCUUUGAAUGCACAGUCCUCCUGCCUCAGUCUUCCAAGUAGCUGAGAUUACAGGUAUGUGCUACUGUGCCUGACCUAAAUCUCUUUUCUUUAUAAAGUAUCCAACCUCAUGUAUUGUAUUAUAGCAACAGAAAGAAGACUAACACAGUGUCUUAGUAUAUGAAAACUGAGGAGGAAGCCACAUAAAAGUUAAUUCCAAACAACACCAUCCUUGUUCACUGAAGACCACACAGCAAAAUAUAUCAUAAGUGUGAAUGAGCAGGAAAAAAUUCAAUACAUAUACAUCGUAUCAAUGUGUGUAAUUUCCUUGUGCUUUUUUUGGUCUGUUUUUGUAUAGCAAUUCUGAACUACUGAUCAAAGUCUAAUUUUUAUUAGAAAAAUGUAAGUGUGUGUCUGGACUUCAUCAACUUCCAAAGGGUAGGACCAUACCUAAACAUCGUUUUCCAGAGCUCUGCAUUCAGUGGAUUGAAUUAAAUUGACCCUGAUUCAUUCAUUUUUUUCCACGAAGCAGGAGUCCAGAUUUGUCUCCAAACCAACCUUAAGUCACCCAUCACAGCUCACAUUGGACAAAUCACAAAAGUCCUCAUUCCUCUAUCAUUCCUAAUUCUGUUAUCUUGCAUAUAUGCUUAUUUCCUGCUUUUGUAAAGAAAAAUCCUAUCACAGUUACAUCCAUGUGAAAGAGCCCAACACAGAGACAGAAAGGACUAGUGUGGAAAUAUAGUGGGCACUUGGGACUGUCAGCAGGUCAUGCAGUCACCUGCCUCGUCCUGCAGGACCACUACCUCAUUCUCUCCAGAGAUGGCACGGGACCAUCUAUCUCCAUGGUCUCCUUCAUCUCUGAAAUCCUUUGAACUCUACCUUGAUGGUAAGGAGGGCUUCCAAUGCUUAGCUACCUCUGAUCACCAACCUUGGGUCAAAAUGCUCCAAAAAGUCAGGGAGUUAGUUCUGCAUAGUGUGGCCGUGCUCAUCAGAGGUGAAGCAGGGAGUAAGGUAGCACAGGUUGGCACUGGUAGGUGGCAAACAUGACCUGUAAGUCUGAAAGUGGUGCUGGGAAGACUGCCCCACUAAGGAAGGGGCACAGGGUCUGGCAGCCUGAAGAUCACUUGAGUCUGAAGCUGAUACAACAGAGUGACCCUCACCCCGAGGGGCCUUUGAGUGAAUCAGUGCCUUACAGGCAGCACUGAGAAGGAUUCACCCCAGUGAGGGGAAAAAGCCAUUCUCAGAGCGCAUCCAGGUUGGGGGCCCCUGGGCCAGGCAAGGAUGCUCCUUGUUAAUGUCUCCCUGCUGUCUUUGCUUGAGAUGUGGAAAGGUGCACAUCGGAAGACGACCCUAACACCCUGAGACAUGCUGGAGACAAGGAGAGACCUUUGGAAUAGAAAAGAAAUCUUGGUCAUGUAGUUUCAUGUUGUUUUCUGAUUUUUUUUUUUUUUUUCCCUGUGCUGGAGCCUGAACCCAGGCCUUUGCCUGGAGCUAUAUUCCCAGUACUUUUUAUGUUUUAUUUUGAUUCAGGGCCCUGCUAAGUGGCUAAACUGCCCAGGCUGUGUUCAAACUUGCAGUCCUCCUGCCUCAGUCUUUCCUGAUGCCUGAGAUUACAUGCAGACACCACUAGGCCCGCUUGAGUUGCCUGUUAUUUCUGGUUUUUGCUUAGCGGUGUUGGGGAUCAGGCCGAGGGCCUUGUGCACUGCGUAAGCAGUCUGCCUCUCUCAUUCCCAGCCCUCUAUCUCUUUUUUAAAACAUUAAAGUUUCAACUUUAUGAGUUUAGAGCUUUAGAAGGUUGGCUAAAGGGAAUUCAGGGAAAUUCUGCUGCCUGGCUCUGGAGGAAGGAGGUCUGUUCACCAGCAGCCCUGGGGUCCGUUGAUGUUAUGUCACCCUGGGAUGCAGCGAUGUUCUUAUAUCAGCACAGGCUCAGCCGCUACUGUGACCCCUGACCAUCUAGAGCAGUCUCUGGACCCUCCUGUUUCCAAAAAGAGUCAAGGCUGCCCAGAAAACCAUAGUGAAGUUAAGCUCAUACACCAUGAGCACGGGAGGCAAAGCGGGGACCAGCGCAGGGGCAGGAACAGUGGGCUCGGGAGAGCUGGCUUGAGAACUCAAUGCAGCUGUCAGACCCGUGCUGCGCAAUCCUCCUAUCGGUAGGACAGAGCGUCUGAAGGGAUGGACCAUCAUCAGCUUCCCGGGUCACGCCAGAGAAUCACCUCUGGCCACUGCUGUGAAUGCUGCUUGAACCUGGCCUCGUAGACCCUGUCCAGGGGACAUUUCCAAGUGCUCGGUCCAUCGGACCGUGGAGCCCCAGGUCCCCACAGCUGCUGUGCACGUGUUCGUCUCGGGCAGUGCUGGGGACGGAGUCCCGAGUUCCCGCACGCUGGUUAAAUGUUCUGCCCCUGGACCUGGCUCCAGCCCGGUUUCAGCUUUCUAAGGAAAGGUGGCGAUCCCAGGACACAGCUAGCUGGGAAACGCGGGAAGAGGUGUCACCGGGCC